Molecule: long non-coding RNA, 6936 nt
Filed under: Sus scrofa (pig)
Lineage: Eukaryota; Metazoa; Chordata; Mammalia; Artiodactyla; Suidae
Description: lncRNA (ENSSSCG00005000558.1)
Source: RNAcentral
AAGAACCCCAAUGUGGUGCCCUGACUACCCCAAGUACCCAAAUGAGGACCACGUCUUGCCCAUCAACCUUCAAGUGGCCCCAUUAUGCUCAACUAUCUGAGUCAUCGCUGCCCAACUACUGACAAGUGGGGCCCUCUCUCUUAACACCUACAGGUGGGACCUCAGAUCAGGGACCACCAACCUGCAAGUGGAACCCUCCCUACCUAAUAUCCUUAGAGUGAGACUCUCUCUUCUCAACUACAUACAAGUGGAAUCUCUCUACUCAAUUAUCUUAGAGUGGGACCCUCUCUGACAACUAACUACAAGUGGAACCCCCUCUAAACAACUAAACUGCGCCCUCUGCUGAACUACACACAAGUGGAACCCUCGCUACCAAUUACCUUAAAGCGGGACCCCCUCUGCUCAACUUCCUUCUGAAAUCCCCAUGCUUUACAAUUAUUUUUAGAAGCAUGUUCUUUGCUCAACCAGGGACAAGGGGACUACCCAACUUCUGCCCAUCUACAAGUGGGACUUCCUAAACAAUUAUGUUAAGUGGGCUCUUUCUGCUCACCUUCAUAAAGUGGGACCCUCUCCACUCAGCUAACAACUAGUGGAACUCUCCCUACCUAAUUACCUUAAAGUGGGGCCUUCUCUCCUCAAGAACACUCAAGAGGAACCCUCUCUCUCCAGUUGUCUUAAAGUGGGACUGAAUCUGCUCAACUACAUACAAGUGGAACCCUCUGUUCCCAAUUACCUUAAAGUGGGACCCUCCCUCCCAGCCCAACUAACUACAAGUGGACCCCCUCUAAGCAAUUACCUUAAAUUGGUCUCUCUCCUCAGCUACAUACUAAGGGGACCCCACCACCCAGCCAACUACAAGUAGAACACUCCCUGCCCAAUUACCUUCAAGUGGGGCCCUUCCUGGCUCAACUAUACCUGAGUGGGACCUCCCUGCCCCAUCACUACAACUCUAACCCUCCAGUUACUGAAUUGGGUCCUUUCUCACCCGCUGCACGUGUGUGAGACCCUCCUUGUCAACUACACAUAAGAGCAGCCUCCCUGCCCAGCUACUUACAAAUGGGACCCUCCCUUCCCAUUUCCCUGAUGGUGGGACUCUCCCCACUUAACUAUUUACACGUUGGCAUGUACCUGCUCAACAACCUACAUGUGGCACCCUAACAUCCUACUUGCAAUAAUGAGGGGCCCUACCAUCUACUUUCAAGUGGGCCCCCAACCUGACCCACCUCCAUCUUUUGGAACCCACAAUGCACAACUGUCUAAGGGAGGACUCCUCCUGCUCAACUGCUAACAACUGGGACCCUCCCUGGGCAACUUCCUACAAGGGGGACCUCCUUGCCAAUCUACCUAUUAGUGGAACCCUCUCAGUGAAGUACCUAAUAGUGGGCCCCUCUCUGCUUAACACAUAAAGUUGACUUAGACCUGCUCAAGAACCCACAUGUGGCACCAUAACUGCUCAGUUACCUAAACAAGGAGCCCAUAUUGCCCAUCUACACUCCAGCAGGCCCCCAGCCGGCUCAAGUACCAUCAUGUGGGACCUGCCCUGCCUAUCUACUUGACGAACCUCCCUGCCCAAUUACAUGCUGGUUGGAUCCUCACCGCCCAGCUACCCGCAAGUGCAGCCCCUUCCUUCCCGAUCACCUAAAUUUGGGACCCUCCCUGCUCCACUACCUACAAGUGGGCCCUGCCUACCCUUGUGUGGGGUCCUGACCUGCCCAAUUACCUAAAUGUGAGCCCCAACUUGAUCCUUGACCAACGUAUGGGCCCCUCCCUGCCCACCUACCCACUUGGUGGGACAGGACCUGCCAACUACCUACAAGAAGUGCUCCAUCACCACAUAUGGGACCUGACCCGCCCAAAUACCCACAAGUAGUGCCCAGCUACCUACAAGUGGGCCUCGAUCUGCCCAAUGAUCUGAGGACCCUCCUUGCCCAACUUCCUACAUGUGGGACCUGACUUGCCCAACUACCCCCAAGUAGCACCCAACCUUCUCAACUACAGACUUGUGGGCCCAACCUGCUCAACCACACAUAUGUGGUACCUGACCUGCCGCACCCGCCACAUGUGGUACCCUCUGUCAACUACCUACAAGUAGGAGCCAACCUGCCCAUAUACAGACAUGCCGGACCCUCCUUGGCCAAAAAGUGACUGACUCACCCACUCAGCUAUGGGACUUAAACUACCCAAAUACAUACCUGUAGGACCCAACCCGCGCAACUCAUAAAUCUGCCACCCCACCUGCCCUACUACUUACCAGUGGGAUCCAACUUGCCUAACUAUGAGUAGAACCUUUUUAUCCGACUACCCACAUGUGAGACCGGACUACCUGCAGGCCGCGCACACUCGGAAUGGGGCCUCUGGCUGCCUUUGGUUUGUGGACUCUCCUGCUGCAGGUGUUGGGGUCUGGAUACUAGCGUAGGGCUGGCUUCUGCAAUUCCAAACGUUCCCCUUCCUAACCCUGUUUCCCCCUUUCCUUUCCCGCAGUACUUAUGAGAUGGCCUGAGUAAAAUAAAUUAUCUUCUCCCCCUAUUUCUCUUCACAGAACCGAGGAAUAAUGAAGUUAUCCUUAGCCUCCUCCUAAAGGCUUUUCUUUUUGGCGUCUUAAAACUUGAGAGAUAACGUGGAGCCCCCAGAGAGGAGUCAGCAGGCUCCCGGGGUGCAUUCUGCCUAUAAACGUGCCAGGACUAGGCCCUCAGUCAGCACUUCCCUUGGGGAGGGUCCAGAACGCCUGUGGCACUGCCCAGGCAGAGGCCCCCCCCCAUUGUUUGCGUGGAUUGCUUUGCAAAGCUGAAGGGUUUUCCUGGACUUCUGGGUUCCUUGUCACUCCCCCUGUCCACAUGCCCUUUACACCUGCAAUGUCACCAGUGUCAGCCAUGCCAUCCUUUUAAAAUUAGUUUCCUUCUAGCCUUCCUGCUUUUCAGCACAGAAGCCAAACCUUGAAUGACCCUGCGGUGUGAUGGACAAAUGAGGGAGAGGGGCCUGUGCUCACCGGCUGGUCAUGGCUGGUCCGCCCUGCACUCUGUUUUCGGCCAACUCAGUAGAGGGGGUGAGACCCCCUGUGCUGAAGACUGGGUGGCAAAGAACCAGGACCGGCUGUUGGUUUCCCCCUGCCUUUUCCCUCCACGUAGAGCAGGCCUGGAUCCAGCCCUCUUGUUGCUAAGAGGCCUUUUCACCGACGGUCUUACCAGCUCAGCCAAAUCUCCACCUUCACUUUGGCAGAAGCAAUAACAAUAGUGUUCACUUAACGUAGACGUCUGGAGUCUGCCUCUUCCGAGACCUCACAGAUGAGUUAACGCCACCAGAGAAGCAGAUCAGUCCCAGAUUCGUUUCUUGGAAUUUUCUAUUUGCUGGUAUUUAUACUAUAUCAAACUAGUCUGCAGUUUUUAGCUAUGUUGAUUAAAACAUGUUUUUAAAGUAGUGUUUAUAGACAGUUUUUCUCUGUUUAAUGCAGGGCUGGGAAAUGCCCAGCAGCAGCCCCAGGGCAUGUCGCAUUCCUAGGGACCUUCUCCUUGGGCCUAAUGCUCAGAUUCAGGGGUUUAGGACUGAACAGGCAUCAAAGUAACAGCCCCGCAGAGCCAGUGGCAAACAGAAGACGUGCUCUUGUGAGCACACCUGUCCCCACACAGCAAUAGCAACAGCCGUGUCCUUGUCCUUGUCCUGGCUGGGCUCUGACUGGUAAAUAGGUAGCUCCCUCCAAGUUACUGUUUGUCUGGACACCUUCUGAACGUGGCUUUUAGGCACCAAGCCUCACGCAUUCCAGAUGGCUUGGAUCUGUGUAUUCAGCCUUUGUUCAGUCCAAUAAACUGUGUAAAUGGUCUUGAUGACUGCGUGUUUGAGUUUUGCUUUGUUUCUAAAAAAAAAAUAAUCUCUCUGGAACCUAUUAACAUCUGGCUCUCGCUCAAUGUGUGCCUGUUACUCCCAGCAGAGUACAAAGUCCUAGGUCUGCUCGGUAGAAACAAGCAAGUGCCGCGGCAGAUGGGAACCACAGGAGCGGAUGUGUGCUCAUCUGGGGGUGCCCACUCGAACCUCAGGCUUGUGAUCCCACCCCAGGAGCUCAGCAUCGAGCCUGUCCAUUCACGGUACCCCCUUCCUCAGGCGCUGGGGACCGUGCUCUUCUCACAGGCUCCUUCUCCCCCAGACAGGAUUGGAGAAAUAACUUUCCCAGCGUGAGCGAGAGAGGCUUGGGUUUGGGACUUUGCUGUUUCAGCCUCUAGAUGCUGCUCUAGUCAGAAAACCGAUUCUUUGCUGUUGGGGAGCUGUGGGGUUGCUGCAGGAGGAAUAUGUUAGGGCGAGUUGAAGACCAGACACUGACUGGGAGCCCUCUCUGGGAAGGGGCGGAGUGCUGGCAGUGCUGUGCCCUGCAAAGCCACGGUGGCUGGAGGCUGUGCUGAGGCUCGGCCCUGUGGUGGGUCUGCAAGGCCUAGCGCAGACCCUGACGUCUGGUUUGCAUCCUCUCAAGGCGGCCUGUGCCAAGCCGCUGGUGCAGGGUGGAGGGAGGCACUGAAGAAGCCUGAAACCAGAAUGGUGAGACGGUGCCAGGAUGCAGGGCCCGGCCACGCUGACAAGCACAGCGGAGCAGAACAAAGAACCAAGCCAUGGUGGCAGAGUGUCACCCCACCCUUGUUUGCGCUCACAGGAGGUGUCCUGUGCUCGUCAGAUAGCGUGGCCCGGAUGCACGGAAAUAACAGAACUCGGCUCCCAGCUCCCCGGCCCCAUGUGUAGUGAACUUAAGGCUGAGGUCCAGCCAGGCCGGUGCCCUGGUAAAAGGAGCAGGGCCCGCCCCCACCCAUCAUCAGGCAUCUUUGUGCAAAGUGGGAAAAGGCGCCCCUUCCUCUGGGCAGCGGAACCCCACGCCCACCCUCGUUCCUGGGUCAAGCACCCCCGGUACACAUCCGGGUGCACCUCUGUGUCCCAGCCAGGUGGCUUUUUCCUCCACUUUUGGCUCCUCCCGGUGAACAAAGGCUGUGCCUAAGCGGUCUCGGCACCGGCUCUCCAGCCACUUAGAGAAGCAGGUCCGCUUCCUCGGCGCCACAUCAAAGGCAGGCCCCGGGGGAAAGCUGCAGCCCCGGGAACCUGAGGGAUCACGGGGGCCCCCAAAUCUCCAGGUUAAACCCAAGACUGAGAACCCCACUUUCCAGAUGCUUCGAGUUGAGUUUUUCAAAGCAAACCAGCUCCCGGCUAGAGAGUGGCUUUGUCCGGCUUUGGUUUUCUGCUGAUUCUGGAAAGCGAGGCAGCCAGGCCCCGGGGUCCCCACCCCUCGGGGCGCUCUGGGUCCCUCUCGGCCGGGACCGGGAGCACCUCUCUCCUCUCUCUCCUCUCUCCUCGACAGAGUUCAGAAGGAACAGCUGGCGGCCAUCUUCAAGCUCAUGAAGGACAACGAGGCGACCUUCGGGGAGAUGUCGGCCGGCGACGUGCAGGAGCAGCUCAGGCUCUACGACAUGUAGGCCGCCUCCCGCGCCGGCCCGCGCUCCGCUCCCGCAGACCCUGGCAGGCGUCCCUUGCUCCCACUCACCGAGAUGCAGAGGUACUUCCCGACCGAGCUGCUCCGUUCUUGCAGCUUCUCCACCUGCCACCUGGGUGCCCCCCCCCAAGGCCGUGCCCUGGCCGAGCCCUUCCACGCAGACCCCGGGCAGGCGGCGGCUCCAAGGCCCAGCCCCGCAGCACGCGGUGUGGAAAGGAUUCGGGGUGCUGUGGGGUCCAGUCUAAGAACACUACACCUUGUUCUUUGAAGGAUCUCUGGACGUUUGUGACUGUACAGAAGCCAGCAGUGGGGGAGCCUUCUUUUAGCCACAAGCCUGAUUCAAGGACUUUGCGUCCCAGAACGAAGCAGUGGUAUCUAAGAGUUGCUCUGCUUUAAGCAUGAGAUUUACUUCACAUAUAAUUCAGGUUUAUACGAGUGUUGAUAAUAAACCUAGGAUGGCGCUAGACACUGUCAAUAGACAUAAAAUACGCGACACAGUCCCUGCCCUGACAGGGAUUAAAGUCCUCUGGAGAAGACAGGCACGUGCGCAGGAAAAGAGGGCCCCGCCGCACAGCUUUCGCUAAAAUGCCAAGUGACCUCACGGGGAGUGUCUGGGAUACCUCAGCACUUCGAUAAAGUUCUGUGAGUCAGUGAAGGCAUGAUGACAGAAAUAAGAGUGGUUCUUCCGUGCUGCCCAGGUUCUGUUUCUUUUUUUUUAUCUUUUGGCCAUGCCUGCAGCAUGCAUGAGUUCCUGGUCCAGGGAUCAAACCCCAACCACAGCAAUGAUGAUGAUGCCAGGUUCUCAAUCAACCUAACCAGCCGAGCUCCCCAGGUUCUGAUUCUUUUUUUUUUUUUUUCUUUUUAGGGCCGCACCCGUGGCAUAUGGAGGUUCCCAGGCUCGGGGUCGAAUGGGAGCUGUAGCUGCCGGCCUCUACCACAGCCACAGCCACACAAGUUCCGAGCUGCAUCUGCGACCUGCACCACAGCUCACAGCAACACCAGACCCUUGACCCACUGAUUGAGGCCAGGGAUCAAACCCUGGUCUUCAUGGAUGCCAGUCAGGUUGGUUAUCGCUGAGCCACAAUGGGAACUCCCCCAGGUCCUAUUCUGAUCACCCCACUGACAGAAAAAUACCAUAGCCAACCGAGUUAAGGAGGGUAUGCUAAAGGGAUAACCUAAGAAAGUUCCUGAAAGUACUUAUUUGCUGAAAUGAAACUAAACACACUAAAAAGCAGCAGUGGCAUUUUACAUACCUCAAGCUAACAACUGCCAUGGGGGGGCGGGGCAGUGAACCUUCUUUUAGCAUCUCUUGCUUGUUUGGGUUUUCCCAGGCACCCUCCCUGCUCUGUCCCUGAAACUGCUUUUGCUUCUUUCUGCCAGUCCCACAGAGAGAGGGUCUGCUCUCUGCGGUUAUAUCCAAAUGUCAGGGGGUUUUAAAAAAUCUUUGUCACUGCUUUUUAAAAAUGUUAUGAUUUAAG